This 162-nucleotide ribosomal RNA is filed under the name uncultured bacterium. Its description in RNAcentral is "partial 16S rRNA". It matches the Rfam family "Bacterial small subunit ribosomal RNA", at positions 358 to 511 of the family's 1533-position model. The record is from RNAcentral.
GGAAUCUUCGGCAAUGGACGAAAGUCUGACCGAGCAACGCCGCGUGAGUGAAGAAGGUUUUCGAAUCGUAAAACUCUGUUGGUAGAGAAGAACGUUGGUGAGAGUGGAAAGCUCAUCAAGUGACGGUAACUACCCAGAAAGGGACGGCUAACUACGUGCCAC